AGCGAACGCUGGCGGCAGGCCUAACACAUGCAAGUCGAACGAACCUUUCGGGGUUAGUGGCGGACGGGUGAGUAACACGUGGGAACGUGCCUUUAGGUUCGGAAUAACUCAGGGAAACUUGUGCUAAUACCGAAUGUGCCCUUCGGGGGAAAGAUUUAUCGCCUUUAGAGCGGCCCGCGUCUGAUUAGCUAGUUGGUUGAGGUAAUGGCUCACCAAGGCGACGAUCAGUAGCUGGUCUGAGAGGAUGAUCAGCCACAUUGGGACUGAGACACGGCCCAAACUCCUACGGGAGGCAGCAGUGGGGAAUCUUGCGCAAUGGGCGAAAGCCUGACGCAGCCAUGCCGCGUGAAUGAUGAAGGUCUUAGGAUUGUAAAAUUCUUUCACCGGGGACGAUAAUGACGAUACCCGGAGAAGAAGCCCCGGCUAACUUCGUG
This 434-nucleotide ribosomal RNA is filed under the name uncultured bacterium. RNAcentral's name for it is "partial 16S ribosomal RNA". It matches the Rfam family "Bacterial small subunit ribosomal RNA", at positions 29 to 507 of the family's 1533-position model. The record is from RNAcentral.